AUGGACAUGAAGGCCCCUGCUCAGCUCCUGGGGCUCCUGCUGCUCUGGCUUCUAGGUGCCAGAUGUUCCGGCCAAACGAUAACCCAGACUCCAUCUGUGGUGUCUGCACCUGUGGGAGGCACAGUCACCAUCAAUUGCCAGUCAAGUCAGAGUGUUGCUAACAACAAUGCUCUAGCCUGGUUUCAGCAGAAACCAGUGGAGCCCCCGAAGCCUCCAAAGCUCCUGAUCUAUGCUGCAUCCACUUUAGAUUCUGGGGUCCCCUCGAGGUUCAAGGGCAGUGGAUCUGGGACAUCAUUCACUCUCACCAUCAACCCGGUGCAGGCUGAGGAUGCAGGAGUCUACUACUGUGCUGGAGGUUAUAGUAGUAGUUGGAUUUACACAGUGAUACAAGCCUUAACAAAAUCUUCCCAGGAAAGCAGAAGUGAGAGCCUGAGCUGGCCUAGGUUCUCCUGGAGACUUAAUCUACCAACAGUCAUUCUCUGUUGCGGCCAGCCUUCCAUGGUUCCUAUAAGGUAGUUAGAAAUGCCCUAGUACUGCUCUAUAGCCUCCCUCAUUUCCUUUUACUUGGCAUUUCCAGUACAGUACUGAUGUA
Non-coding RNA from Ochotona curzoniae (black-lipped pika), 592 nucleotides. The record is from the annotation of a RefSeq genome assembly. NCBI's taxonomy places the organism in Eukaryota, Metazoa, Chordata, Mammalia, Lagomorpha, Ochotonidae.